AGAGUUUGAUCAUGGCUCAGAUUGAACGCUGGCGGCAGGCCUAACACAUGCAAGUCGAGCGGUAGCACAGAGAGCUUGCUCUCGGGUGACGAGCGGCGGACGGGUGAGUAAUGUCUGGGAAACUGCCUGAUGGAGGGGGAUAACUACUGGAAACGGUAGCUAAUACCGCAUAACGUCGCAAGACCAAAGUGGGGGACCUUCGGGCCUCAUGCCAUCAGAUGUGCCCAGAUGGGAUUAGCUAGUAGGUGGGGUAACGGCUCACCUAGGCGACGAUCCCUAGCUGGUCUGAGAGGAUGACCAGCCACACUGGAACUGAGACACGGUCCAGACUCCUACGGGAGGCAGCAGUGGGGAAUAUUGCACAAUGGGCGCAAGCCUGAUGCAGCCAUGCCGCGUGUGUGAAGAAGGCCUUCGGGUUGUAAAGCACUUUCAGCGGGGAGGAAGGCGAUAAGGUUAAUAACCUUGUCGAUUGACGUUACCCGCAGAAGAAGCACCGGCUAACUCCGUGCCAGCAGCCGCGGUAAUACGGAGGGUGCAAGCGUUAAUCGGAAUUACUGGGCGUAAAGCGCACGCAGGCGGUCUGUCAAGUCGGAUGUGAAAUCCCCGGGCUCAACCUGGGAACUGCAUUCGAAACUGGCAGGCUAGAGUCUUGUAGAGGGGGGUAGAAUUCCAGGUGUAGCGGUGAAAUGCGUAGAGAUCUGGAGGAAUACCGGUGGCGAAGGCGGCCCCCUGGACAAAGACUGACGCUCAGGUGCGAAAGCGUGGGGAGCAAACAGGAUUAGAUACCCUGGUAGUCCACGCCGUAAACGAUGUCGAUUUGGAGGUUGUGCCCUUGAGGCGUGGCUUCCGGAGCUAACGCGUUAAAUCGACCGCCUGGGGAGUACGGCCGCAAGGUUAAAACUCAAAUGAAUUGACGGGGGCCCGCACAAGCGGUGGAGCAUGUGGUUUAAUUCGAUGCAACGCGAAGAACCUUACCUGGUCUUGACAUCCACAGAACUUUCCAGAGAUGGAUUGGUGCCUUCGGGAACUGUGAGACAGGUGCUGCAUGGCUGUCGUCAGCUCGUGUUGUGAAAUGUUGGGUUAAGUCCCGCAACGAGCGCAACCCUUAUCCUUUGUUGCCAGCGGUUAGGCCGGGAACUCAAAGGAGACUGCCAGUGAUAAACUGGAGGAAGGUGGGGAUGACGUCAAGUCAUCAUGGCCCUUACGACCAGGGCUACACACGUGCUACAAUGGCAUAUACAAAGAGAAGCGACCUCGCGAGAGCAAGCGGACCUCAUAAAGUAUGUCGUAGUCCGGAUUGGAGUCUGCAACUCGACUCCAUGAAGUCGGAAUCGCUAGUAAUCGUAGAUCAGAAUGCUACGGUGAAUACGUUCCCGGGCCUUGUACACACCGCCCGUCACACCAUGGGAGUGGGUUGCAAAAGAAGUAGGUAGCUUAACCUUCGGGAGGGCGCUUACCACUUUGUGAUUCAUGACUGGGGUGAAGUCGUAACAAGGUAACCGUAGGGGAACCUGCGGUUG
RNAcentral lists this ribosomal RNA (1520 nucleotides) under Klebsiella pneumoniae. RNAcentral describes it as "bacterial SSU rRNA". It matches the Rfam family "Bacterial small subunit ribosomal RNA". Lineage: Bacteria; Pseudomonadati; Pseudomonadota; Gammaproteobacteria; Enterobacterales; Enterobacteriaceae. The record is from RNAcentral. RNAcentral also lists the same sequence under 2 other names.